UUUAGCCUAGUGGACAUGGCACCUGCCCGGUAAGCAGAAGGUUGUGGGUUCGAUUCCCGCCCCUGGACAC
Cordylochernes scorpioides is the source of this 70-nucleotide non-coding RNA. Lineage: Eukaryota; Metazoa; Arthropoda; Arachnida; Pseudoscorpiones; Chernetidae. The record is from the annotation of a GenBank genome assembly.